UGUUCCUUCACUGAUAUGUUGUCUUUGUUUUGCAAGUCAGAUUUUACUAUUUGCUGUUGCAAGCAAGUCCUCAAAAUUCUGCCCAUCUUUAAGGAAGCAGAAAAGCCAUUUAAGGGAAAGAGAAGAGGCCGUCUAAGGGGUCCCGGAGUACCCGGAUUGUCUUCGUCGGCGUUGUGGGUGUGCCUCGACCGCAUCUGCUCCGCUAGCAUUACUCCACCGACACCCUAGGAUGGAGGACCGUGAGUGGAUGUACACGCUCCGGAGAGAUGCGAAGGAUUUCGACUUGCUGUUUAUACACAUGGUCGAAGGUUUCUUGAAUCAAGCAUUUGUCGAGAGUGCACACGGCCAUUCUCUAGUUGUUUGUCCUUGCAGUAGUUGUGACAACAGAAGAAGGAAAGAUAGGAGAACCAUGGGUAAACAUAUUGUGAAGUUUGGAUUUACUCCAAGCUACCACCGGUGGAUCCACCAUGGUGAAGUUGAUCGUAUCAGAGAGGAGGUGGUGAGACCUCGACUUGAUUUGUGCAGCCUCCAUCGGCGGGUUCAAACGCUCAUCAGACAUCACCGGCGGUUGAUCCCGUCAAUCCUUCACCGACGUCCGGGAGGCCACCCUUUGAGUCUUUGCCACAGUAGCUAUGUUGACUUUUUAAUAAUAGACUUGUCAUGUUGAACUUUGAUGCAUUUGUGAUGGUCACACUAGCCAUGUUGAACUUUGAUGCAUUUGUGCGGGACUUGUCAUGUUCAACUUUGAUGCAUUUGAUGUCUUCGCCACAGUACUUGUCAUGUUGAACUUUGAUGCAUUUGUGCGGGACUUGUAAUAUCGAACUUGUGAUGUUCAACAUUAAUGGAUUUUCGAUGGAUUGAUGAAAUAUGUGAGUGCUUGUGAUAUAUAAUGUAUGCUGGUGAUAUAUUC
This is a long non-coding RNA of Sorghum bicolor (sorghum), 910 nucleotides long. RefSeq lists it as uncharacterized. NCBI's taxonomy places the organism in Eukaryota, Viridiplantae, Streptophyta, Magnoliopsida, Poales, Poaceae. The record is from RefSeq and is a predicted model, not a curated record. The transcript has 3 exons.